RNAcentral lists this ribosomal RNA (262 nucleotides) under uncultured archaeon. RNAcentral's name for it is "partial 16S ribosomal RNA". It matches the Rfam family "Archaeal small subunit ribosomal RNA", at positions 748 to 1008 of the family's 1478-position model. The record is from RNAcentral.
AGGGUGUAAACGCUGCAGACUUGGUGUUGGGAACCCUUCGGGGGUGCUCAGUGCCGGAGAGAAGUUGUUAAGUCUGCUACUUGGGGAGUACGUCCGCAAGGAUGAAACUUAAAGGAAUUGGCGGGGGAGCACCGCAACGGGAGGAGCGUGCGGUUUAAUUGGAUUCAACGCCGAAAAACUCACCAGCAGCGACUGUUACAUGAAAGUCAGGUUGAAGACUCUGCUAGAUUUUUCAGAGAGGUGGUGCAUGGCGUCAGUGACU